This 468-nucleotide ribosomal RNA is filed under the name uncultured bacterium. RNAcentral describes it as "partial 16S ribosomal RNA". It matches the Rfam family "Bacterial small subunit ribosomal RNA", at positions 28 to 507 of the family's 1533-position model. The record is from RNAcentral.
GACGAACGCUGGCGGCGUGCUUAACACAUGCAAGUCGAACGGAAAGGCCCUGCUUUUGUGGGGUGCUCGAGUGGCGAACGGGUGAGUAACACGUGAGUAACCUGCCCUUGACUUUGGGAUAACUUCAGGAAACUGGGGCUAAUACCGGAUAGGAGCUCCUGCUGCAUGGUGGGGGUUGGAAAGUUUCGGCGGUUGGGGAUGGACUCGCGGCUUAUCAGCUUGUUGGUGGGGUAGUGGCUUACCAAGGCUUUGACGGGUAGCCGGCCUGAGAGGGUGACCGGCCAAAUUGGGACUGAGAUACGGCCCAGACUCCUACGGGAGGCAGCAGUGGGGAAUGUUGCACAAUGGGCGGAAGCCUGAUGCAGCAACGCCGCGUGCGGGAUGACGGCCUUCGGGUUGUAAACCGCUUUCGCCUGUGACGAAGCGUGAGUGACGGUAAUGGGUAAAGAAGCACCGGCUAACUACGUG